Physella acuta is the source of this 363-nucleotide long non-coding RNA. RefSeq lists it as uncharacterized. The record is from RefSeq and is a predicted model, not a curated record. Lineage: Eukaryota; Metazoa; Mollusca; Gastropoda; Physidae.
UCCACAUUAGAAAACAUGCAUGUAUAAAAUGUCUAUUCAAUGUACGGUCAUCAUUUAAACUACUCGUGUGUUCUGUAAGACAUACAUCAUUGUUUACUGAGCCGAUUAAAAUGAUGAUCGCAUUUUUUCUACUUCUGGUGUGUAUGGCAAAUCUCUUUGUUGUAACCGACAGUUGUUGCGUUACGGAUGAAUACUGUUCAACCCAUAAAGAUUGUUGCUCAUCAAGAGCUUGCAACAGCUUUUCAGACGGAAAAAAAAGAUGUGUUACCAAUCGUAGAAAAUAAAAGAACACAAAAUGAAUAAAAUAAACUUCUAGAAAAAAUAAACAUCUGACAUUGACAAUGUUUUUAAAGUUAUUUUUUU